AGUGAACGCUGGCGGUAGGCCUAACACAUGCAAGUCGAACGGCAGCACAGUAAGAGCUUGCUCUUACGGGUGGCGAGUGGCGGACGGGUGAGGAAUACAUCGGAAUCUACUUUUUCGUGGGGGAUAACGUAGGGAAACUUACGCUAAUACCGCAUACGACCUACGGGUGAAAGCAGGGGAUCUUCGGACCUUGCGCGAUUGAAUGAGCCGAUGUCGGAUUAGCUAGUUGGCGGGGUAAAGGCCCACCAAGGCGACGAUCCGUAGCUGGUCUGAGAGGAUGAUCAGCCACACUGGAACUGAGACACGAUCCAGACUCCUACGGGAGGCAGCAGUGGGGAAUAUUGGACAAUGGGCGCGAGCCUGAUCCAGCCAUACCGCGUGGGUGAAGAAGGCCUUCGGGUUGUAAAGCCCUUUUGUUGGGAAAGAAAAGCAGCAGGUUAAUACCCCGCUGUUCUGACGGUACCCAAAGAAUAAGCACCGGCUAACUUCGUG
RNAcentral lists this ribosomal RNA (492 nucleotides) under uncultured bacterium. RNAcentral's name for it is "partial 16S ribosomal RNA". It matches the Rfam family "Bacterial small subunit ribosomal RNA", at positions 29 to 507 of the family's 1533-position model. The record is from RNAcentral.